UUUUCGCUCGCUCUCUAUAGCGUCGAAAAGAAUGAUUAUCCGUGUGAGAGGGCUAAUCAGCCUGUGACAUACUAUCAAUCAGUUUAAUAACAAUGCACGUGUACCAAUUUUACCAAAUAUCUUUUCCAAAAAUAAUAAUUUGUAAUUAAAUAACCAAAAAAUAAUCGACUGUCUACACAAUCAAAUCCUACGAAGUCCAAGAGCUUUAAUA
Molecule: long non-coding RNA, 211 nt
Filed under: Ananas comosus (pineapple)
Lineage: Eukaryota; Viridiplantae; Streptophyta; Magnoliopsida; Poales; Bromeliaceae
Description: long non-coding RNA (ACOM_LNC026952)
Source: RNAcentral